GGACUACUGGGGUAUCUAAUCCUGUUUGCUCCCCACGCUUUCGCGCCUCAGCGUCAGUAAUGGCCCAGUGUGUCGCCUUCGCCACUGGUGUUCUUCCGAAUAUCUACGAAUUUCACCUCUACACUCGGAGUUCCACACACCUCUGCCAUACUCAAGGCCGCCAGUAUUAAAGGCAAUUCCAGGGUUGAGCCCUGGGCUUUCACCUCUAACUAAACGACCCGCCUACGCGCCCUUUACGCCCAGUAAUUCCGAGCAACGCUAGCCCCCUUCGUAUUACCGCGGCUGCUGGCAC
Molecule: ribosomal RNA, 292 nt
Filed under: uncultured bacterium
Lineage: Bacteria
Description: partial 16S ribosomal RNA
Source: RNAcentral